This 400-nucleotide ribosomal RNA is filed under the name uncultured bacterium. RNAcentral's name for it is "bacterial SSU rRNA". It matches the Rfam family "Bacterial small subunit ribosomal RNA", at positions 355 to 747 of the family's 1533-position model. The record is from RNAcentral.
UGGGGAAUAUUGGACAAUGGGCGCAAGCCUGAUCCAGCAAUGCCGCGUGUGUGAAGAAGGCCCUAGGGUUGUAAAGCACUUUCAGUUGGGAGGAAGGGUUUAUGGUUAAUACCCAUAAACAUUGACGCUACCAACAGAAGAAGCACCGGCUAACUCUGUGCCAGCAGCCGCGGUAAUACAGAGGGUGCGAGCGUUAAUCGGAAUUACUGGGCGUAAAGAGUGCGUAGGCGGUUAAAUAAGUUAGAUGUGAAAUCCCUAGGCUUAACCUGGGAACUGCGUUUAAUACUGUAUAACUAGAGUCCUGAAGAGGUUAGUGGAAUUUCCAGUGUAGCGGUGAAAUGCGUAGAUAUUGGAAGGAACACCAGUGGCGAAGGCGACUAACUGGUCAGAAACUGACGCU